AUAUAUAUUUAUAAAUAGUUCCAGGAUGCUUGGAUCUGUUGCAGCUGAAGCAAACAUAUGGGGAUUCCCAGAUGGAAGACACAUCAUUGAGUGCAGCGUUGAUGAAUUCUUUCACUUUUUGCCAACUCUAUCUCAGAUGAAUUCGCCAGCGCUGCACUCAAUCAUGUGUUUUGCUCUUUCUGGAAACGAAGGCCAUCAAGAUUCAAGAGAAUAUUAAUGUUACAGAUGCCAACUGCAAAUCUAGUCAGAUGGUGACAACCCAAAUACCAAUAAUUCGUGUUAAAAGCAGCAUCCAACAUUGGAACCAGAGAUAAAUGGGCCCUCGAGUGCUACAAAGUCAUUUCUCUUUGGUCUAUUGAGUAUCUCGAGAAACGGAUAAGUUUUUCAGGGUUCCACAAUAUUGGCAUAUAUAUUGCACUACUUUUACUUUUAUGUCACCAUGAUAUCUAGUUGUCCCUGUGGACUGUCCAAAAGCAAAUCAUGAUCAAAUUCAUGAAAAUAGCACCAUAGUAGCAAGUGAAGAGGAUUGGAAUAAUGCUGCAAAAUUUAGACUAGAUUCAGAUAAAUAGCAGAACUGACAUGACUCGCAUGUUAUAGGCAGUUCCACAUCAAUUUGUCUGGCCUCUUAAUUUAAACCUUAGAAACAGAUCGACUAUGGUAAACUUGUAAUGUUGUCCCUCUGUGAUCUUCCACCAUUUUUGCCUACUAAAUAGAUGGGCGGUUUCUGCUUAAUCCCCUGCUACAGAAUGCGAUUGGUGGUAUAAAUCGAAUGAACACAAGGACUUCUCUGA
Non-coding RNA from Theobroma cacao (cacao), 791 nucleotides. The record is from RefSeq and is a predicted model, not a curated record. NCBI's taxonomy places the organism in Eukaryota, Viridiplantae, Streptophyta, Magnoliopsida, Malvales, Malvaceae.